CGGACUAAUGCUUACAACUAUGGACUCGAUAAAAAGACAAAACGAGCGAUAACGAUCGAUACCAGAGCCACUGCGUAUUCUGUGCUGGCGAUGCUAUUUCGGACGGCAAUCAGAACACCACCGCCAGAGGUUUUUUCACUAUUGAAGGCAUUUCUAUCACAACGGUAUACACGAAAGGCGGAAGAAAACAAUGAACCAUCCAGUACAGUUGCAUCCAGGUUUUCGUGUCAUUGAUACUAUAGGACUAGUGACGGUCAAAUUUGGUUCCAACUCAGGAUCGUUAUUACUACUGUGUAUUGGCAAGGGGUGUAAGAAAGUUUUCUGGAUUGGACUCAUUAUCUCUGAUAUUUUGAAAUGUGUUUGUUCGAGGUUCACUUAUGAAUUCGCGGAAAUAAA
Molecule: long non-coding RNA, 396 nt
Organism: Sabethes cyaneus
Lineage: Eukaryota; Metazoa; Arthropoda; Insecta; Diptera; Culicidae
Exons: 4
Source: RefSeq, a predicted model, not a curated record